Long non-coding RNA from Eriocheir sinensis (Chinese mitten crab), 720 nucleotides. RefSeq lists it as uncharacterized. The record is from RefSeq and is a predicted model, not a curated record. NCBI's taxonomy places the organism in Eukaryota, Metazoa, Arthropoda, Malacostraca, Decapoda, Varunidae. The transcript has 3 exons.
CUCUCUAAAUCUAUCUAUUUCUCUCUCCUUUUGUAUUUUUCCCAUCUUCUUCUUUUUCUUCUUUUUGUGAUGUUUUCUUUUUAAAUGAUUUACUUGUUCCAUUUACUUUUGUUGUUCUUCCAUAUUCUCGUUCUUGAAACACACACACACACACACACACACACACACACACACACACACACACACACACACACACACACACACACACACUCAUUCACUCGCACACCACAAGACAUACAUACAUACACACAAGUACAUCAUUAACAGACAAACGGGAAGGAACUGAAGGGAAGAGGAGGAAUGAUAAUACUGAGAAGUAGGAGGAGGAAGAAGAGGAGGUGGAAGAGGCUGUCAAGAAGGAGAAGGAGAAACGAUUGAAACUACAAAAAAAACCCAAUUAGUCAACAGCUCCUGGAAAUUUCAACGCCGCGGUGGGCCUGUCGCCGCGAGAGAGAGGGAGAGGGAGAGAGGGAGACCGAGACCCGAGACCCGAGAACAAUAGGACUUCAACACACACGAGAGCGACCCCACCAACGCCUCUUAUGCCUUUUCGUUCUGCCGAAGUGACGCCCCCCCCAACCAACCACCACCACCACCACCACCACUGUCGCUACCACCACGACCACCAUCAUUACCACCAGAAGGAGUAUAACCUCUCCUCCUCCUCCUCCUCCUCCUCCUCCUCUUCUUCCACCUUCUCCUCCUCUUCCUCCUCCUCCU